RNAcentral lists this ribosomal RNA (492 nucleotides) under uncultured bacterium. Its description in RNAcentral is "partial 16S ribosomal RNA". It matches the Rfam family "Bacterial small subunit ribosomal RNA", at positions 29 to 507 of the family's 1533-position model. The record is from RNAcentral.
AGUGAACGCUGGCGGUAGGCCUAACACAUGCAAGUCGAACGGCAGCACAGUAAGAGCUUGCUCUUACGGGUGGCGAGUGGCGGACGGGUGAGGUAUACAUCGGAAUCUACUUUUUCGUGGGGGAUAACGUAGGGAAACUUACGCUAUUACCGCAUACGACCUACGGGUGAAAGCAGGGGAUCUUCGGACCUUGCGCGAUUGAAUGAGCCGAUGUCGGAUUAGCUAGUUGGCGGGGUAAAGGCCCACCAAGGCGACGAUCCGUAGCUGGUCUGAGAGGAUGAUCAGCCACACUGGAACUGAGACACGGUCCAGACUCCUACGGGAGGCAGCAGUGGGGAAUAUUGGACAAUGGGCGCAAGCCUGAUCCAGCCAUACCGCGUGGGUGAAGGAGGCCUUCGGGUUGUAAAGCCCUUUUGUUGGGAAAGAAAAGCAGCAGGUUAAUACCCCGCUGUUCUGACGGUACCCAAAGAAUAAGCACCGGCUAACUUCGUG